Long non-coding RNA from Gouania willdenowi (blunt-snouted clingfish), 2021 nucleotides. Ensembl annotates it as titin homolog. NCBI's taxonomy places the organism in Eukaryota, Metazoa, Chordata, Actinopteri, Blenniiformes, Gobiesocidae. The record is from Ensembl.
GUUGAGCAUCUGGAUAAACAUGUCAAAAGGGGUGGACAAAAUACAGGUGUUUCGAACCACCAGAGUGCGGAAUGCAUUAAAGAAAGAUGGAAGUUGGAUACACCAACCAAAGGGCGACAAAGAGGAAGAAAAGGACGUCGGGCCUAGCCAGUCUGCAGAUGGUAACCCAGCUGUGACUAAACAGAAAUCCUACGUCCUCCAAACGGCCAGAAGAUUUGGUGCAAUAGAUUCAUCAGUGAUUCUUCAUCCUCAAACGACAAAGGUCACUCCAUCUGAAGGGCCUCAAGCGUCCACAGUAGAAGAAAUUCACAACGGCGGGGCACAACCAGAAAAACCAGCGGCAGAAGAAAUGCCAGAAAAUGGUGAAGCACAAACUGUCAUAUCAGUAGUGGAGCUCAGUGAAGCAUUAGCAGCAGACGCUACUUUAGAUAUUCCUGUAGAGGAAUGUGCCCAAGCAGAUUCUGCAGAAGGGGAAGAAACAGAAGCAGUGUCUCCAGUGAAACCUGCUGAACAAGCUUUAAGCAGCCAGAAUGCAGUAAACAAAGACCCGCCAGUCCCAGAUAACAGUGAGACAGAGGUCUCAGCAGAAGCUAAUGUAAAAUCUCCAGAUGUGGAUGGCAGUUGUAUAAAAGGCCCUCCAGAAGAUGACAAAUCUGUAGAUGUCAACGAGGAAUCACAUUAUGUGAUUCAUGCAUCACCUGAAGAAGAUGUCCAAGUCAGUGUAGAGUCAGUCCCUGACAUAGUGGAGUCAGUUACCAAACCCCCUCCUCAAUUUGCUGAUGAAAUAAUAACAGAUGGACCUGAAGAGCCUCGUACAGAUGAAAGAGUUGAAGAUGGAUCAGCAGUAAUAGAAGAGUCAACACUUGCUGUGACUAAUGUGACACAGAAGGAAGAGGAUGCAGGACAUGAUGGAGUCCAAACUGUCCCCGAUGUUGUGUCAGAAAUACCUGCUUCAGCAGCUGGUUCAACUGCUGCACUAGCUUUAGUGUGUGAAGGUGACUCUGCACCGCAGAACGAGCUAAACACCACAACUGAGCAGGAUGUCGAGGGUAAACUAGACUCUCCUACAUCUCAAGAAGAAAGAGUCCAAAUAGCAGCACAUGGAAAGUGUGAGGAUUCAUCUGCACCCCAGGAAAAGUCAUUUGUUAAAACCCCAACGAAAGAGUUUGAUGAUUGUGAAUCAAAGCCUUUGUCAAACAUUGAAACCACAAAGGAAGAGGGAACUGUGUGUGAAGCCCAGACAGAACCUCAGGACCAUCUUAUAAUAAAAACUAUUACCGUGGCUGAACUGGAGACUGAAAUUGAGCCCAUACUACAAGUGGAGCCAGUUUUGAAUACCACAAAUGAGGAAGCUGAAGAGCAGUCAGGUGGUGGCAUCCCAGAGGACCAACGUGCUGAACCAGAACCUAAGAUCACUGAGGACCCUGAUGCUGAGCUUAACAUGGAAGACUCCACACAGCCAGAAACUGUUUCUGAUGCUGGAAUUGUUCAGAAUAAAGAAGUUAACCUACUUAUUGAGCUGACGGACGCAUUAGAUGUGGAGCCCCCCCCCAUCAUAUCUGCCCCUGAACCUGUUAAAGAUCCAGAAGCACCUCAGACUGAGGAGCCCAAACAAAACAAACAGAAGGCCAAAACGGACUUCAACGGCCUUUGUUCAUUCUGCCACCAAAAACUUGAUGGACCUAUCAAGAUCACACUAAGUGAUCCAGCAGUGACGUGUCACCCUGACUGUCUGAAGUGUGGUGUUUGUGCUCGGGUGCUUGGAGAUUUCUUGAGCCCCAUGUUCUUGCAAGGCCAAGUGAUCCAGUGUGGCAGCUGCGUUACAAGAGCUCCCAGGAUCUAAAGCCCAACUGGGACAAACGUGUUAUCAGAGACAAAUCAAAACAAACUGUGAUUAAUGUGCUAUCCUCUAUUUUUACACCAGCGUUUUUAAAACUUAUUGAGAAUCAGAUCAUAUUACGCUGCCGUGGUUGGAAAGUGUACUGAAAAAGCUUUUCAGCAUGUUCUUUUUUAAUUUUUUG